UGCAAGGCUCCGUGUAUUGGAUUGUGCAGGUGCAUACAUGCUGUUUUAUCCCAGUGCUCUUGUAAUCUGCCUCCUGUUUUCUGUGUUUAGAAUUUUUUUUUUUGGUCUGCUUUGCACAAAGUUUCAAGAACUUUUACUAAAUUUUACUCUAUCCAGGAAACCGCUUAUCCAGCCGAAGCAUUCCUUACUUGCUGUACAACAAAAUACAGCAAUUCAGUCAAUUGUAAAGGUGCAAUUGUCUUGUGUUCUGAGGAGAGCUCUUUCAGAUCCACAGGGGUAUCUAUGAUGAGCAUCAUUCUCGACAUAAUUACACAGAUGAAAGAUUGGUCCUAUCCAUUAAGAGAAUACAACUGAAAGGAAAAAGCAUUGCUGUGUAGCAUUGCAGAUCACUACUGUGAGGCUCUCAGAGACGGGCGCCGG
This is a long non-coding RNA of Acipenser ruthenus (sterlet), 420 nucleotides long. RefSeq lists it as uncharacterized. The record is from RefSeq and is a predicted model, not a curated record. NCBI's taxonomy places the organism in Eukaryota, Metazoa, Chordata, Actinopteri, Acipenseriformes, Acipenseridae. The transcript has 3 exons.